RNAcentral lists this unclassified non-coding RNA (379 nucleotides) under uncultured fungus. RNAcentral describes it as "sequence contains ITS1". The stretch from base 1 to 107 matches the Rfam family "5.8S ribosomal RNA", at positions 50 to 154 of the family's 154-position model. Lineage: Eukaryota; Fungi. The record is from RNAcentral.
GAAAUGCGAUACUUGGUGUGAAUUGCAGAAUCCCGCGAACCAUCAAGUCUUUGAACGCAAGUUGCGCCCGAAGCCAUUAGGUUGAGGGCACGUCUGCCUGAGCGUCUCACGUUGCGUCGCCCGUGCCCCCUCCCCCCCUCGAAGGGUUGAAGAAGGGCUGCGGGCGGAUGUUGGCCCCUGCGCGUGCUCGCGUGUGGUCGGUCCAAAAGCGAGUCCCCCGCGAUGGACAACGCGUCGCGACGAGUGGUGGUUGACAAACCGUUGCGUCGCCUCGCGCGCGUCUAGGGGGUCUCAGGAGGCCUAUCGUGACCCUAUCGCGCCGCUGCCAAUGCACUCCGAUCGCGACCCCAGGUCAGGCGGGAUUACUCGCUGAGUUUAA